UUGAACGCUGGCGGCAGGCCUAACACAUGCAGGUCGAACGGUAACAGGAAGCAGCUUGCUGCUUCGCUGACGAGUGGCGGACGGGUGAGUAAUGUCUGGGAAGCUGCCUGAUGGAGGGGGAUAACUACUGGAAACGGUAGCUAAUACCGCAUAAUGUCGCAGGACCAAAGAGGGGGACCUUCGGGCCUCUUGCCAUCGGAUGUGCCCAGAUGGGAUUAGCUUGUUGGUGGGGUAACGGCUCACCAAGGCGACGAUCCCUAGCUGGUCUGAGAGGAUGACCAGCCACACUGGAACUGAGACACGGUCCAGACUCCUACGGGAGGCAGCAGUGGGGAAUAUUGCACAAUGGGCGCAAGCCUGAUGCAGCCAUGCCGCGUGUAUGAAGAAGGCCUUCGGGUUGUAAAGUACUUUCAGCGGGGAGGAAGGGAGUAAAGUUAAUACCUUUGCUCAUUGACGUUACCCGCAGAAGAAGCACCGGCUAACUCCGUG
RNAcentral lists this ribosomal RNA (489 nucleotides) under uncultured bacterium. RNAcentral describes it as "partial 16S ribosomal RNA". It matches the Rfam family "Bacterial small subunit ribosomal RNA", at positions 30 to 507 of the family's 1533-position model. The record is from RNAcentral.